RNAcentral lists this ribosomal RNA (264 nucleotides) under uncultured bacterium. RNAcentral describes it as "partial 16S ribosomal RNA". It matches the Rfam family "Bacterial small subunit ribosomal RNA", at positions 793 to 1055 of the family's 1533-position model. The record is from RNAcentral.
GUCCACGCCGUAAACGAUGAGUGCUGGGUGUCGCGAGUUUGACCCUCGCGGUGCCGUAGCUAACGCGUUAAGCACUCCGCCUGGGGAGUACGGCCGCAAGGCUAAAACUCAAAGGAAUUGACGGGGCCCGCACAAGCGGUGGAGCAUGUGGUUUAAUUCGACGCAACGCGCAGAACCUUACCUGGGCUAGAAAAGGGCGGAAUCCCUCAGAAACGAGGGCGUGCCCGCAAGGGAACCGUCAUUCAGGUGCUGCAUGGCUGUCGU